GGGGGAAGGAAGAAAAUAGGUAAGUCGAGCGUAUGACGGGAGCUUGCUCCUGGAUUCAGCGGCGGACGGGUGAGUAAUGCCUAGGAAUCUGCCUGGUAGUGGGGGAUAACGUCCGGAAACGGGCGCUAAUACCGCAUACGUCCUGAGGGAGAAAGUGGGGGAUCUUCGGACCUCACGCUAUCAGAUGAGCCUAGGUCGGAUUAGCUAGUUGGUGGGGUAAAGGCCUACCAAGGCGACGAUCCGUAACUGGUCUGAGAGGAUGAUCAGUCACACUGGAACUGAGACACGGUCCAGACUCCUACGGGAGGCAGCAGUGGGGAAUAUUGGACAAUGGGCGAAAGCCUGAUCCAGCCAUGCCGCGUGUGUGAAGAAGGUCUUCGGAUUGUAAAGCACUUUAAGUUGGGAGGAAGGGCAGUAAGUUAAUACCUUGCUGUUUUGACGUUACCAACAGAAUAAGCACCGGCUAACUUCGUG
This 474-nucleotide ribosomal RNA is filed under the name uncultured bacterium. RNAcentral's name for it is "partial 16S ribosomal RNA". It matches the Rfam family "Bacterial small subunit ribosomal RNA", at positions 38 to 507 of the family's 1533-position model. The record is from RNAcentral.